GAUGAACGCUGGCGGCGUGCCUAAUACAUGCAAGUCGAGCGAACAGACGAGGAGCUUGCUCCUCUGACGUUAGCGGCGGACGGGUGAGUAACACGUGGAUAACCUACCUAUAAGACUGGGAUAACUUCGGGAAACCGGAGCUAAUACCGGAUAAUAUAUUGAACCGCAUGGUUCAAUAGUGAAAGACGGUUUUGCUGUCACUUAUAGAUGGAUCCGCGCCGCAUUAGCUAGUUGGUAAGGUAACGGCUUACCAAGGCAACGAUGCGUAGCCGACCUGAGAGGGUGAUCGGCCACACUGGAACUGAGACACGGUCCAGACUCCUACGGGAGGCAGCAGUAGGGAAUCUUCCGCAAUGGGCGAAAGCCUGACGGAGCAACGCCGCGUGAGUGAUGAAGGUCUUCGGAUCUUAAAACUCUGUUAUUAGUGAAGAACAAAUGUGUAAGUAACUAUGCACGUCUUGACGGUACCUAAUCAGAAAGCCACGGCUAAGUACGUG
Molecule: ribosomal RNA, 497 nt
Filed under: uncultured bacterium
Lineage: Bacteria
Description: partial 16S ribosomal RNA
Rfam family: Bacterial small subunit ribosomal RNA
Source: RNAcentral